GAUUGUGGCUCAGUGGCAGAGAGCUUGCCUUGCAUGUAUGAAGCACUGGGUUCAAUCCUCAGCAAGACA
RNAcentral lists this transfer RNA (69 nucleotides) under Marmota monax (woodchuck). RNAcentral's name for it is "tRNA.Ala". It matches the Rfam family "tRNA", at positions 5 to 66 of the family's 71-position model. From Rfam's summary of the family: Transfer RNA (tRNA) molecules are approximately 80 nucleotides in length. Their secondary structure includes four short double-helical elements and three loops (D, anti-codon, and T loops). Lineage: Eukaryota; Metazoa; Chordata; Mammalia; Rodentia; Sciuridae. The record is from RNAcentral.